RNAcentral lists this ribosomal RNA (568 nucleotides) under haloarchaeon enrichment culture clone B1A-C47. RNAcentral's name for it is "bacterial SSU rRNA". It matches the Rfam family "Archaeal small subunit ribosomal RNA", at positions 340 to 908 of the family's 1478-position model. The record is from RNAcentral. Lineage: Archaea; Methanobacteriati; Methanobacteriota; Halobacteria; Halobacteriales.
CGCGAAACCUUUACACUGCACGACAGUGCGAUAGGGGAACUCCGAGUGCGAGGGCAUAGAGCCCUCGCUUUUCUGCACCGUAAGGUGGUGCGGGAACAAGUGCUGGGCAAGACCGGUGCCAGCCGCCGCGGUAAUACCGGCAGCACGAGUGAUGGCCGAUCUUAUUGGGCCUAAAGCGUCCGUAGCUGGCCGUGCAAGUCCGUCGGGAAAUCCAGUGGCUCAACCUCUGGGCUUCCGGCGGAAACUGCUCGGCUUGGGACCGGAAGACUCGAGGGGUACGUUCGGGGUAGGAGUGAAAUCCCGUAAUCCUGAACGGACCACCGAUGGCGAAAGCACCUCGAGAGCACGGAUCCGACAGUGAGGGACGAAAGCUAGGGUCUCGAACCGGAUUAGAUACCCGGGUAGUCCUAGCUGUUAACGAUGCCCGCUCGGUUCGGCGCAGGCUACGAGCCUGUGCCGCGCCUCAGUGAAGACGUAAGCGGGCCGCCUGGGAAGUACAUCCGCAAGGAUGAAACUUAAAGGAAUUGGCGGGGGAGCACUACAACCGGAGGAGCCUGCGGUUUAAUUG